GGUAUGGGAUGAGCUUGCGUCCGAUUAGCUAGUUGGCGGGGCAACGGCCCACCAAGGCGACGAUCGGUAGCCGGCCUGAGAGGGUGAUCGGCCACAUUGGGACUGAGAUACGGCCCAGACUCCUACGGGAGGCAGCAGUAGGGAAUAUUGCACAAUGGGGGGAGCCCUGAUGCAGCAACGCCACGUGUGGGAAGAAGCAUUUCGGUGUGUAAACCACUGUCAUGAGGGAAUAAGGCCUAUUUUCGGAUAGGAUUGAAUGUACCUUGAGAGGAAGCACCGGCAAACUUCGUGCCAGCAGCCGCGGUAAUACGAGGGGUGCAAGCGUUGUUCGGAAUUACUGGGCGUAAAGGGAGCGUAGGCGGAGAUUCAAGCGGAUUGUACAAUCCCGGGGCCCAACCCCGGCUCUGCAGUCCGAACUGGAUCUCUUGGAUAGUUCAGGGGCAGGC
Molecule: ribosomal RNA, 446 nt
Filed under: uncultured bacterium
Lineage: Bacteria
Description: bacterial SSU rRNA
Rfam family: Bacterial small subunit ribosomal RNA
Source: RNAcentral